CUUCCGUUUCCUAAUUUUCAAACCUCCAUUCUCCCCUUUUUGUUCCAAGGUAUUUUUCGAACCCGCGAAACCCGUUUAAUUUCGCGGGUUCGGUACGGAUCCCACUUAAAGUUUGGAAACCUAUUGCAGUAAUGCACUAAUCAAUAAAAUUGAUCCAAACUCUUUUGCCGACGCGUUGCUUUAGGUAUCUAUCUUUUUGUCUCGAUUCGAUGCCGCAGGAAUCGCAGCCUGAG
RNAcentral lists this unclassified non-coding RNA (233 nucleotides) under Hevea brasiliensis (rubber tree). Lineage: Eukaryota; Viridiplantae; Streptophyta; Magnoliopsida; Malpighiales; Euphorbiaceae. The record is from RNAcentral.